GCCCUAGUGGUCAGUGGUUGAGCACUCAGCUGCUAACUGAAAGGUUGGUGGUUUGAAUCCACCCAGCGGCU
This 71-nucleotide transfer RNA is filed under the name Loxodonta africana (African savanna elephant). It matches the Rfam family "tRNA". Rfam says of the family: Transfer RNA (tRNA) molecules are approximately 80 nucleotides in length. Their secondary structure includes four short double-helical elements and three loops (D, anti-codon, and T loops). Lineage: Eukaryota; Metazoa; Chordata; Mammalia; Proboscidea; Elephantidae. The record is from Rfam by way of RNAcentral.